CCUACGGGAGGCAGCAGUGGGGAAUCUUGCGCAAUGGGCGAAAGCCUGACGCAGCAACGCCGCGUGCGGGAAGAAGGCUUUCGGGCUGUAAACCGCUUUCAGCAGGAACGAAAAUGACGGUACCUGCAGAAGAAGGAGCGGCCAACUAUGUGCCAGCAGCCGCGGUGAUACAUAGGCUUCAAGCGUUGUCCGGAUUUAUUGGGCGUAAAGAGUUCGUAGGCGGUCGAGUAAGUCGGGUGUGAAAAUUCUGGGCUCAACCCAGAGACGCCACCCGAUACUGCUUGACUUGAGUUCGAUAGGGGAGUGGGGAAUUCCUAGUGUAGCGGUGAAAUGCGCAGAUAUUAGGAGGAACACCGGUGGCGAAGGCGCCACUCUGGAUCGAUACUGACGCUGAGGAACGAAAGCAUGGGUAGCAAACAGGAUUAGAUACCCUGGUAGUCCAUGCCGUAAACGGUGGGCACUAGGUGUGGGUUUCUAUUAACGAAAUCCGCGCCGUCGCUAACGCAUUAAGUGCCCCGCCUGGGGGAGGUACGGUCGCAGACUAAACUACAANAGAUAGACGCGNGAGACGNGCCGACGACGACGACGAGGGAGUAGG
Molecule: ribosomal RNA, 598 nt
Filed under: uncultured bacterium
Lineage: Bacteria
Description: bacterial SSU rRNA
Rfam family: Bacterial small subunit ribosomal RNA
Source: RNAcentral